GUCUAUUCCAUCUUCAUCUUUCCCAGAAAUCGUCUCCAUCUUUCAAGUGUCUUCAUUUGAGUAAUGAUAGCAAGAUGGAUAAUCGGGAAGAUCUUACACCAAUUGAAUCAAAUCCUUCAAGUUCAGAACCCAAUUCUUUACCUAUUCCAAUUCCAGUUCCAGUUACUACUUUUAAUACAAAUAGUAACCCUGAAAGUGAAGGUAAUCCAGCUUCUAGAUCUAAUAAAAGAAAAACAUUU
Molecule: long non-coding RNA, 239 nt
Organism: Populus euphratica (Euphrates poplar)
Lineage: Eukaryota; Viridiplantae; Streptophyta; Magnoliopsida; Malpighiales; Salicaceae
Exons: 2
Source: RefSeq, a predicted model, not a curated record